UUGUAGGCCAAAACGCGGAAGUGAGUUAGCAUUUUAGCACCUCCAGUUCCCUCGCCCUAAAGUCUAUGGGUUUUUUGAAUGGGUUUUUGCUAAAUCGCCUGAAAUAAGGUCUGUGGUUAACAAAGCCUCUAAAUAUUUUCACGUUUUGAUCUAUGACAUAAACCAGUUAUAACCUGUUUGUGAUUUUUUAAAAACUUUAUUGUGUCUUAAAAACGGUGGUUGCUAACAAGUUGCUAAAAGGGACUACAUCCUUUGGCGGGGACUUUAGACGUCAUCAUGACAAACAUGAAAUCUCUCACUAUCCUGCGUUUCAGCCUCACGUUCUUAGAAGUCUACCUUUCAGUUAAUAUACAUAACGUUAUAUAUUAUUAUUAUUAUUAUUAAAUAAAUUAUAUAUUAUAUAUUUAGUCUAAUUGUCGUCUUUCCAAAUAUUGUUGUACACAGAAUUCUGUGAUAUUAAGGUAACCGUUUCCAGUUCUUUAUUUCUGUGGAGAGACUGUAGGUCGAUAAUGGUGUUUUGUUUUGUCCCGAGAUGCAACCACAAGUCGUCGAAUGAAAGAUGCUCGUUUUACCGUUUUCCGUCCGAUGUUACCCAGCGGAGACUCUGGGUUCGUGCCGUAAGACGAGCUGACCGGAAGCCCAGUGUCCAUUCUCGCAUCUGCAGCUGUCAUUUUCCUGCAGG
Cyprinus carpio (common carp) is the source of this 682-nucleotide long non-coding RNA. RefSeq lists it as uncharacterized. The transcript has 2 exons. NCBI's taxonomy places the organism in Eukaryota, Metazoa, Chordata, Actinopteri, Cypriniformes, Cyprinidae. The record is from RefSeq and is a predicted model, not a curated record.